ACCUGGCCAGCGUGGCUCCGUGGUUGAGUGACUACCUAUGAACCAAGAAGUCAUGGUUUGAUUCCUGGUCAGGGCACAUGCCCGGGUUGUGGGCUCAAU
Molecule: long non-coding RNA, 99 nt
Organism: Myotis davidii
Lineage: Eukaryota; Metazoa; Chordata; Mammalia; Chiroptera; Vespertilionidae
Exons: 3
Source: RefSeq, a predicted model, not a curated record